UGGGUAAUAGCUCAAUGGCAGAGCAUCAGACUUUGACUCUGAUAGUUUGGGUUCGAUUCCCAAUUACCCCG
RNAcentral lists this transfer RNA (71 nucleotides) under Coprococcus comes ATCC 27758. It matches the Rfam family "tRNA". From Rfam's summary of the family: Transfer RNA (tRNA) molecules are approximately 80 nucleotides in length. The record is from Rfam by way of RNAcentral. Lineage: Bacteria; Bacillati; Bacillota; Clostridia; Lachnospirales; Lachnospiraceae.